Molecule: ribosomal RNA, 460 nt
Filed under: uncultured bacterium
Lineage: Bacteria
Description: partial 16S ribosomal RNA
Rfam family: Bacterial small subunit ribosomal RNA
Source: RNAcentral
CCUACGGGGGGCAGCAGUGAGGAAUAUUGGUCAAUGGCCGUAAGGCUGAACCAGCCAAGUAGCGUGAGGGAAGACUGCCCUAUGGGUUGUAAACCUCUUUUAUGCGGGGAUAAAGGUGUCCACGUGUGGAUGUUUGCAGGUACCGCAUGAAUAAGGACCGGCUAAUUCCGUGCCAGCAGCCGCGGUAAUACGGAAGGUCCGGGCGUUAUCCGGAUUUAUUGGGUUUAAAGGGAGCGUAGGCCGGUCUUUAGGCGUGCCGUGAAAUUUUGUGGCUCAACCAUGGGAGUGCGGCGCGAAAUGGAGACCUUGAGGGCGCGGAAGGCAGGCGGAAUGCGUGGUGUAGCGGUGAAAUGCUUAGAUAUCACGCAGAACCCCGAUUGCGAAGGCAGCCUGCCAAGCCAUGACUGACGCGGAUGCACGAAAGCGUGGGGAUCAAACAGGAUUAGAUACCCGGGUAGUC